Molecule: ribosomal RNA, 215 nt
Filed under: Glomeromycotina sp.
Lineage: Eukaryota; Fungi; Glomeromycota
Description: partial small subunit ribosomal RNA
Rfam family: Eukaryotic small subunit ribosomal RNA (bases 75-215)
Source: RNAcentral
GGGCCAGUAGGUUGGUCGUGCCACCGGUACGUACUGGUCUCACUGAUUCCUCCUUCCUGAAGAACCGUAAUGCCAUUAAUUUGGUGUUGCGGGAAACAGGACUGUUACUUUGAAAAAAUUAGAGUGUUUAAAGCAAGCUAACGCUUGAAUACAUUAGCAUGGAAUUAUGAAAUAGGACGAUCGAUCCUAUUUUGUUGGUUUCUAGGAUUGACGUA